Phragmites australis (common reed) is the source of this 1086-nucleotide long non-coding RNA. RefSeq lists it as uncharacterized. The record is from RefSeq and is a predicted model, not a curated record. Lineage: Eukaryota; Viridiplantae; Streptophyta; Magnoliopsida; Poales; Poaceae. The transcript is spliced from 2 exons.
CAAUGUCACUAUUUCACAUUGUGGUAAUCCGGACGCUUACCGCAAUUUGAAAUCCAAAUUUUUACAAAUAGUUUAAUAACAAGCUAAGUUUCCAAUCGUGAUUUGCAUCUCCCUCAUUCUUCAGUGACAUAGGUGGAGGGCUGGAGGUGGUUUCAUUAUACUUGAGCUCCACUGGUGCAGGAUGAGCCCAGAAACGUCAUAAAAGAUGAACUGAGCCUGGUCUUGGUUCAGCUGGAGGGACAUGAACCCUUGCCCGUCGUAGAAGAACCGGAGCUUAUCUUUGUUUUUCUGGAAGAUGCCUCUCCAUGCUUUCGAUCCGCCUCUGCUCGUGAAGUAUUGGAUUGGACUGGAACAGCAGAAGCAAGCAGUGAUCAUGCCCGUUGAUGUAGAAGGCGAUGCCAUUGUCCUGAAUGGUGCAAAAUUAUCGUCGAAAACAGUUUUUCUUUUUCCCGAGAACGUGUCAAAAAGAGGUUAUUUAUUUAUGAGAGAGCCCUUUUGGAACUAAUUGAAGCUACUUCUGAAUAACCUCGAGGACUGGAAGUAGCAGUUUCAGAAGCUCCUUGGUGUCACCAUGCUCACUGACACUCCUCAUGGUAUGAUGCCCCACAGCAAUCUUCCACCUUGCAGUUGAUUUCUUCAUCGCCUUAUCCAAAUCCUGCAUCACAGAAUCCAAAAUGAGAUUGAGGCAAUUUUGCUUUAGGUGUAGCGUUUCUGGCAAUGACGGCAAUUUCUUUCCAAAUGUGCACCUUCAACAAAUUAGCUAUGUAUUUUCCUCGAGGUGCCACUCCUCUCCAGUCAUAAUGACUUUUGCCAGGGGUGAGUCCAAUACUUCAGUUCAAAUGGAGUGGUGUUGACAAAGAAGAAAUCCACAAUUUCUGACAAAAUCAGGGUUGACGUCACAGAUUCAGUCUCGUUUUCCUUAUUAUAGUUUUGACAAAUUUGUAUUUUUUUGCAGUUUGAUCAAAAUAUGGUUUUGUACCUGAGUUUUUUAGAAUGUUUUGUACCUAGUUAACAAUGAACGAUCUCAUGCAAAUGAAUCGGCUGUCGAUCUUCUGCAAGACUGGGCUAAGCUGUGCUAGCACAUCA